ACGCUCGACACCUACGGAGGCAGCAGUGGGGAAUAUUGCACAAUGGGGGAAACCCUGAUGCAGCGAUGCCGCGUGAGGGAAGAAGUAUCUCGGUAUGUAAACUUCUAUCAGCAGGGAAGAAAAUGACGGUACCUGACUAAGAAGCCCCGGCUAACUACGUGCCAGCAGCCGACGGUAAUCUGAGGCGGGCUGGCAAGGC
This 199-nucleotide ribosomal RNA is filed under the name uncultured bacterium. RNAcentral describes it as "partial 16S ribosomal RNA". It matches the Rfam family "Bacterial small subunit ribosomal RNA", at positions 328 to 539 of the family's 1533-position model. The record is from RNAcentral.